This 501-nucleotide ribosomal RNA is filed under the name uncultured bacterium. Its description in RNAcentral is "partial 16S ribosomal RNA". It matches the Rfam family "Bacterial small subunit ribosomal RNA", at positions 30 to 523 of the family's 1533-position model. The record is from RNAcentral.
AUUGAACGCUGGCGGCAGGCUUAACACAUGCAAGUCGAGCGGGCGAGGUUGCUUCGGUAACUGAGCUAGUGGCGGACGGGUGAGUAAUGCUUAGGAAUCUGCCUAUUAGUGGGGGACAACAUUCCGAAAGGAAUGCUAAUACCGCAUACGCCCUACGGGGGAAAGCAGGGGAUCUUCGGACCUUGCGCUAAUAGAUGAGCCUAAGUCAGAUUAGCUAGUUGGCGGGGUAAAGGCCUACCAAGGCGACGAUCUGUAGCGGGGCUGAGAGGAUGGUCCGCCACACCGGGACUGAGACACGGCCCAGACUCCUACGGGAGGCAGCAGUGGGGAAUAUUGGACAAUGGGCGGAAGCCUGAUCCAGCCAUGCCGCGUGUGUGAAGAAGGCCUUUUGGUUGUAAAGCACUUUAAGCGAGGAGGAGGCUACUUGGAUUAAUACUCUAGGAUAGUGGACGUUACUCGCAGAAUAAGCACCGGCUAACCCUGUGCCAGCCGCCGCGGUAA